CCUGAGUACGACGGAGCACGUGAAAUUCCGUCGGAAUCUGGGAGGACCAUCUCCUAAGGCUAAAUACUCUCUAGUGACCGAUAGUGAACCAGUACCGUGAGGGAAAGGUGAAAAGUACCCCGGAAGGGGAGUGAAAGAGAACUUGAAACCGUGUGCUUACAAGUAGUCAGAGCCCGUUAAUGGGUGAUGGCGUGCCUUUUGUAGAAUGAACCGGCGAGUUACGAUCUGAUGCAAGGUUAAGCAGAAAAUGUGGAGCCGUAGCGAAAGCGAGUCUGAAUAGGGCGAAUGAGUAUUUGGUCGUAGACCCGAAACCAGGUGAUCUACCCUUGGUCAGGUUGAAGUUCAGGUAACACUGAAUGGAGGACCGAACCGACUUACGUUGAAAAGUGAGCGGAUGAACUGAGGGUAGCGGAGAAAUUCCAAUCGAACUUGGAGAUAGCUGGUUCUCUCCGAAAUAGCUUUAGGGCUAGCCUCAAGUGAUGAUUAUUGGAGGUAGAGCACUGUUUGGACGAGGGGCCCCUCUCGGGUUACCGAAUUCAGACAAACUCCGAAUGCCAAAUAAUUUAACUUGGGAGUCAGAAUGUGGGUGAUAAGGUC
RNAcentral lists this ribosomal RNA (597 nucleotides) under Staphylococcus pseudintermedius. RNAcentral describes it as "partial 23S ribosomal RNA". It matches the Rfam family "Bacterial large subunit ribosomal RNA", at positions 407 to 1005 of the family's 2925-position model. The record is from RNAcentral. Lineage: Bacteria; Bacillati; Bacillota; Bacilli; Caryophanales; Staphylococcaceae.